UACGUAGGGGGCAAGCGUUGUCCGGAAUCAUUGGGCGUAAAGGGCGCGUAGGCGGCCCGGUAAGUCAAAGGUGAAAUUCCUCGGCUCAACUGAGGAACUGCCUUUGAAACUGUCGGGCUUGAGGCCGGGAGGGGGUAGCGGAAUUCCCAGUGUAGCGGUGAAAUGCGUAGAUAUUGGGAGGAACACCAGUGGCGAAGGCGGCUACCUGGACCGGUCCUGACGCUGAGGCGCGAAAGCGUGGGUAGCAAACAGG
RNAcentral lists this ribosomal RNA (253 nucleotides) under uncultured bacterium. RNAcentral's name for it is "partial 16S ribosomal RNA". It matches the Rfam family "Bacterial small subunit ribosomal RNA", at positions 524 to 776 of the family's 1533-position model. The record is from RNAcentral.